UAGGCUGAAAAAUGACCCCCUCCUAUCACCUGCCAAGAUAUCAGAUCUUAAUUCUUUGAACUUAUAAAUGGUACCUCAUAUGGAAACAGGGUUUUUACAGAUGUAAUAAAGUUACGGAUCUUGAAAUGGGGAGAUUAUCUUGGAUUAUCAGAGUGGGCCCUAAAUGCAGUCACGUGUAUCCUGGUCAGAGGGAGAUCUGACACACACUGAUGCUGUGCGAUGGGAGAGCAGAGAGAGAUUCGGAGAUGCUGGCGGAUUGGAGCGAUGCAGACCACAAGCUGAGGAAAACCAGCAGCCCCCAGAAGCUGGAGGAGGCAAGGAAUGGAUUCUUCCUGGAUCCACCAGAGGGAGCACGGCGCUGCCAGUACCUUGCUCGUGACCCAUGACACUGAGUGGAUUUCUGGCCUCAAGAACCGUGAGAGAAUGAAUUUUUAUUGUUUUAAGCCAUCAAGUUUGUGGAGAUUUGUUACAAUAGCCACAGGAAAACUAAUACACGUACCAUACAAAUCACCCAUUAAAAGUGUACAAUUCUAGAGUUUUUAGUGUAUUCACAGAGUUGUGCAACCAUUACCACAAUCAAUUCUAGAACAUUUCAUCACCCCACAAGGAAACCUUGUACCAAUUGUCGGUCACCCUCAUUCCCUCCACCUCCCCAGUGCUAGGCGACUGCUAACCUACCUUCUGUCCUCUAUAGAUUCGUCUAUUCUGGGCAUUCAUGUAAAUGGAAUCAUACACUACAUGGUCUUUUGAAUCUGGCUUCUUUUGCUCAGCUUAGUGUUUUCAAGAUUCAUCCAUGUUGUAGCGUGUAUCAAUACUUCAUUUCUUUUUACUGCUGAAUAAGAACAUGACUUUGUAAUAUCAGGUUAUAAGUUUAAAAUGUCUGUGAGAAAAUCCUGAUCAAGACCUUUUUUAAAACGGCAAUCUUUUCAAAAUAUUGGUAGUCACCACAGAAAUUUUGAGAAGCCAGUGAUUAAAAAUGUUUAGUCUAUUACAGCCAUUAUAAAAUUUAUAAUGGUUGAAAUUCUAUUUAAAGACUCUAACAGCUGAUUCUUUGCUCUCAUUGACAAAUGUGAUGUUGGACUUUCUUGUGGUAAUGUGAAUUUCCAGUCCAAUAGAAGUUUUUCAUAGCAAAUGUUUCAAGAUACUGAUAAAGCCUAUUAGUGCUUGGGCACCACUAAGAGAGCACAGUAGCCACCAAUGGGCAGAUGUACAGGAUGGAUGUGGAGACAAAGAGUGGGGCCAUACCUGAAGCGGGUGUGCUAGCAGCCUCAGCUCAGCCUCUUAGACCUGCUGCAUGUCUGCCCUGCUCCUUCCCUAGCACCUGCGACAGCCCUUGACCACAGGGACGGAGGUGUGCUGCAGUGGGCCACUGAAAUAGACAGCCAGAUGGCAGGGCAUCUCCUUGGUCUCUCUCAUCCUGUCAUGUUGGGACAAGGACUCUGGGUGUCUCUUGUGUCCUUUAUUGUUCUCAGCCCAUCAGAGCCCACUCCACUGGGACUGCCCUUUGAGGAGCCUUUGACAGAUUUCUCUAAGUCAGAGGUGUCCAACAGCCCUGUGUCGCAUUCAUGGUUCACACUCAGCACACCCAUUGCAAAGCUCUGCUCCAGGUUGGCUAUGAGCAUUUGGGGCCUGUAUGUGAUGGAAAAUAGCAGGAGGGCACAUGGAGUUACCCCUGGUUUUGCAGUCUUGUCAAAUUUCUAUGGAGCAAUGACUGCUUCAGACCUCUCAUUUCCUUUCUUCCUGAGCUUUAGUACCUAUCCUGGCAUUGACUUGUAUCCUGGGUGUUUGGGAAGUAGAUAACUUGUCACAUUAGAUCACAGAUACUUCUGAUCAAGAGGAACCAUAUCCAAGGAGCUAUACCCGAGGAAGCCCAUCUUCAUCUGGGUUCAGGGGAUGAGGUCAUGGAUUUUGAGUAGAUGCUACAAUGAGAUGAGAUUCUGGCGGUCUUGGAAGGGGGUGAGUGUAUUUUGCAUUUGGCAGGAUGCACAUUAUUGUGGCUAGAUGAUGGAAUGUCUCAAAAAUAGGCGCCAUCUAUUCCCUCACUCUAUGCAUCCUCAUGCCACUCCUCCAUUAAGAGGUCGGUUUGUUCCCCCUCCCCUUGAGUCUGGGAUGGCUCUAUGACUGCAUUGACCAAUAGAAUACAGCAGAAGUGAGGUUCUAAAAUUUGUGUGGAAAUCCAAAGACCUAGAACGUCCAGAAAAAUCUUGAAAAAAAGAGUUGGAGGGCUCACAGUGUACUUUAACUUUGCAGUUAGUUAAGUGUGGUAUUGGAGUAAGAACAGACAUAUGGAUCAAUGGAACAGAAUAGAAAGUGCAGAAAUAAAGCCACAGGUAUGUGGCUAAUUGACUUUUACAAAUGUCCCACGGUAAUUCACUGGAGAAAGAAUAAUCUUCUCAACAAAGCAUGUUGGAAAAACUAGAACAAAUGUGUGAAGAAAAUGAAUCGCAACCCCCAUCUCAUACCACAUAUAACAAUUAAUUCAAAAUGGAUGAUAGACUAAACAUAAAAGCUACAGCUAUGAAGUUUUUAUAAGAAAACAUAGGAGAAAAUCUUCUCAAACUUGGGUUGGUAAACAUUUCUUAGAGAGGACACAACAAGCACCAAACAUAAUAGAAAAAAUUGAUGUAUUGGACAUCAUUGAAAAAUUUAAAAAUUUGCUUUUCAAAGGUACUAUUAAGAAAAUGAGGAGGCCGGCCCCGUGGCCAAGUGGUUAAGUUUGCGCUCUCUGCUGCGGUGGCCCAGGGUUUCACUGGUUCAGAUCCUGGGUGUGGACAUGGCACUGCUCAUCAGGCCAUGCUGAGGCAGCAUCCCACAUGCCACAACUAGAAGGACUCACAACUAAGAAUAUCUAACUAUGUACUGGGGGCCUUUGGGGAGAAAAAAGGAAAAAUAAAAUCUUAAAAAAAAAAGGAAAUGAAAAGCUAGUCAUAGACAGUGGGAGUGGGUAUCUGAGUAAGGACUUGUAUCCAGAUAUAUAAAAAAUUCCUACAAAUCCAUAGCAAAAUAUAAACAGGCAAAAGACUUGAAAAGACACUUCAUAAAAGAAUUUAUAAGAAUGGCCACUAAACGAAUGGAAAAGUGUUCAAUAUCAUCAAAUUAAAAUCACAGUGAGAGGCCACAUAAUCAUUAGAAUGGCUAAAAUUAAAGUCUGACAACACAAAUGUUGGAAGUAUGUGGAGCAACUGGAAUUCUCAUAAUUUGCAGGUGAACUAUGAAUUAAAAAUGAAGAGUGCUCAUAAUUUUUUGCUUAAAAAGUUAUACACACCUACUCUAUGACCCAGCAAUUUCACUCCUACAUAUUUACCCAAGAGAAAUCAAACCAUAUGCCUAUAACAAGACUAUAUUCGAAUAUUUGUACUAGAAUAUUUAUAGCAGUUUUAUUCAUAAGAGCCAAAACGUGAAAACAACCUAAAUGUCUGUUAAUAGGAGAAUGGAUUAGCAAAUGGUGGUGUAGUUGUGCAAUGGGAAUACAGCUCGUCAACAAAAAAGAGGAAACUACUGAUACACACAACGACACAGAGAUCUCAAACACUGUGCUGAUGAAAGAAGCUAGCCACAAAGAGUGCGCACUGCACGAUUCCAUUCGCAUAAAGUUGAAGAAGAGGCAAAACUAAUCCACGGUGAUAGAAAUCAGAACAGAGGAAGCCUCGGAGGGUAGGGUGGGAAAUGACUGCAGAGGGGGCACAGGGACCGUCUGGGGUAGAUGGAGAUGUUCUAUAUCUUGAUGGUGACGCUUCCAUAGGUGUUUACCUUUAACGAAACUCAUUAAAUUACAAACUUAAGAUAUGUGCAGUUUACUCUGUAUACAUUUUGUAUCACUUAACAAAUUGCAAAUUUAGAAAACCUAUAUGGAUUAGUGUCUCCUAGGCCUCAUCAUUUAGGUCUCAGUUUGAACGUCACCUCCUCGGAGAGACCUGCCCUGACCGGAGACGGUGGCCCUUGCUGCUCAGGCUGUAUCACGUAACGGACUUUUAUUUUCUGCAUAGUGCUUAUCUGUAUCCAAAAGCACAUUUAAAAAAUGAAUUAAUCCAUUGAUUAAGUGAUUGGUUGCUCCACUACCUCCCACUACAGUGUAAGUUCUGUGAAAACAGGGACUAUGUCCAUUUUGUUUUCGGCUUUGUCCCCAGUGCCUGGCACAUUGGGUUUGCCCAAUAAACAUUUGUUGUGAUUGAAUGAAUGAUGGAUACAAGAGCAGAAAAAUUAAACUGACUAAUAGAGAUUUUUCCUUCUGUUUGUAGAACGUGGGCUGGGCAGCAUACAAGGAGGCUUACCCUCAUCAGUUACUGACCAUCCACUUCUUCCAUUCCUUCCAGAAACAUUUUCCAGGUGCCUCCUGUGUGCUGAGUGCUGAUGGAAGCCUUGCACACCAGGUGCGAGCAGAUGAUCAGUGAGACUGAGACAGGUGUGCCGUGGGAAGGGCCAGGCUGGCUCCUGGAAGCGGGGCAGGCUCCUUGAUUCCCCACACGCUUUGGAACAUCUAUCUUUAGGUCCAUUUUACAGAUGAGUAAAAUGAAUUUUUAUUUCAAGGGUAGUAACUUCCCUAUAAGUUUUAGAGCAGAAGAAUGAGACAACCAAAAUCAGGGCCCAAUGAGGCUAGUUAGGACCCACCCAUCAUGGGGGAUGGGGGCCUGAGCAAUUGGAAGGAAGAAGUGAUGGAUGAAAGACAUACUGCACCCACAAUAGUAGCUUUUAUUGUAUAUUCUCUAUAGAGGAGGCAGGACUUGGCUGUUAAAUUUUAUUUUUCUUAAGUAACCUUCUUUUAUAACUAUUUUAUAAGAUUUACAGGAUUGCCAUGCAAUUUGUGCUUGUGGAAGAAUUUUAGGCAAAUGUUUUCAAAUGUUACUCACUGAUUGAUCCACGGCUUCCAACAGCGUUUGUUGAAUAGCACUUUAGCCAGAAAACGCCUUCCUUAGCCCUCACAGCCCCCUCUCCCCGAAACCAGAACUCAGCCCUUUUAGUUGAUCACAAUCCUUAGCCCUCUCCCUGAGCUUUUCCUGAUCGCUGCUAGUUCACACAUUCCUUUCCCAGGAGACCUUCAGGACACAAGCUGCCGCUAGCCAGCCUGGGCGGCACUGUCAACAGCCCUCUCAGGAAGGAGCAAACAGCUGGUCUCUGAGUCCCUGAGGGAGGAGUAAGAGGAAGCAGAUUUAAAUUUCAACAGUGACAACACAGGCCUGACACAAAUGACAACUGUCGAAUUCUACAAGAUUUCCUUAAUUGGGCCUAAAAAGAGCAGCAGACAAGGUCCCUUUCUGACCUGAGGUUUGACAACUUCCUUCUCCCUUACUGGUGACCCUAUUCCAAGACAUACCAGCAGCCGUGAACAGAAGACAGGAGACCCUUGGUCAGUGGAUAAAAUUACAGUUGUGAGUAAAGUUCGAAGAUGGCAGCGCUGCACGUCUUUGUUCUUAGAAAGCUUCAUCUGGAGUGGUGGGGAGCUUCUUGGUCUGUAAGUCCUUCUUCAUUUUUCACCUAACAGGACAUAUUUAAGAGACCACGUCUCUCAAAACCAUCUCUGGCAGGGUUGCUGCCAAUAUCUGCUCCUUGCAAACAGCAAGGAGACUUAAAAACAGCAACAGCACGUCUCUAUGGGGCCCCCAGCUCUUUCUUUAUAAAUUCUUUCCCUUAAUAAAGAGAAAUUGUUGUGCUAUAUUGUGGCAGAGUUUGGGGCUUACAGAGAUAGAAUGGGAAGUAAAGGGCGACUGGCUGCCGCUGUGCAGGCGCUCUCUGAUUGUAAAACCAACCCAGUAACGGAUAAUAACCACCUUAGUGCGCUUAUCAAGGCAGUUCCUCUCUGGGAUGCAGAAGAGGCCACUGGAGACAACGCGCAGGCCUCUCACCGCUCCCGUUCAUUAACAAGGCACUGCUGGCUGCAGCUCAGGCUCCAUUACCUAGAGGCAACAAUGGCCGGGACCCGCAUUGAGUUGUAAUUAGGCUUGAUCAGGGCUAGGGUGCAGUUGCCAUAAUCAGGAUCACUCGGAAUUAAAUGUAUACUUGUGAAAGGAAAUGAGGUGAGAUUGAUUUAAUGGUAACCAAAGCAACCCCCUUUUCUGUAACCGUCUAAGCUUAAAGAGAGAGAGAAAGAGAGGGAGAGAGAAAAAGAAAAAAGCAGGGCAAAGGAAUACAGAAGAUGACCAUUUUAGUUUUAUGCAAUUUAUUGCAACUAGUUAGGAGAAAAUGUGUUUCAAUAAGAGCAAAUCUGUUCUAGCAAGGUGAUGGCUGGGUCCCAGAGAGCUUUGUAGGUCUCACUCCGUGCCUAAAGCAGAUCCUGUGAUUCUUAAUUUCCUCCUCCUUUUUGUCCAUUUCAUAUGUGUUUGGAAAUAGCCUGAUUAGGGCAAGAAUUUCAAUUUGCAGGAAAAGGAGGAGGAAAGUCAAGCUGGGCACUAUUUCCUUUCUCUGCUGAUAAUCAGUUCUUCAGUCUUUUACCUUUGGACCUAUGUAUAUCUCAGACCCAGUGACCGCCAGCUUAUCUGAGAGCAAAUAGAAGAUUUCGGAGACCUGUUUGUGAAACAGUUUAAGAAGUUGCAGAGAUGUGCACUAUUUUAUUCAAUUUUACUCAGUUGUUUUUCAGGUUAGCAAGAUGCCGCUCUGGGAAUAAAAUCUCACCCUUAAGGUUUGAGAUAAUUAGUGAAACGAGCGCAUAUGCAUACAUUUUCAUUUCUGCACAUACAUGCAGAUAUUGGUAUACAUGAUUUAUUCCAUUCAUACAUGUGUGAUCUCUAAUAUUUAGACAUCAUAAGUGAAAUAUUUGCUCUUUCUCUUUUCUCCCCCUUGGCAGAUUUAUGAAUCUCUUCCUACAGCACAUCAGGUUCAAAAGGAAAAAUAUCACAGUCAUUUUGAGGCUAGGAUACUGUUAAAUAUGUAGAGAAUGGCUUAAAGGGAGAAACUUUGUUUCUUAAAUACUUCUCAGAUGAUUAUGUGGAUGAGAAAAUGACGUGUAAAUAUUUUGAGCCAUUUGAGUGAGUAGCAAGUGUUGAAACAAAGUACAUUUCUUCCAGAUUUUAAAAAAAGAACUCUCUAGCUCUUUUUUUCUUUCUCUGUUGGAUAUAACACCUUAGCUAUUCAAAUAAUAAAACUAUAAUAACCUUCUGAAGAAAUCAUUGAGGUGAUUGGUACAUAUUAAUGCAUAUCUGACUAUGUGGACAUCUCAUGUGUAGGUUUGUAAGUGAACCUAAGUGAGGUCAUCUAGUUACGCUAAAUGGCCCAGCCCCUCCUCUGUGUGACCACCCGCUGCUCUGCGCGUACUCUAAACAGUUCACAUGCUCUCUUGAUUGAUGGCCUUCGCUUAUGUGUGUACUCCUCCAUAGCUUGGUAAAUUAAAACUUUGUUCUAUGAGUUUCUCUCCAGGAACAGGCUGACCACAGGCCGGAAACACACCUACAAGGUAUUCAGCAUCAGUGACAGAAGAAAAGAACAACGAAGACCCUGGAGUCCGUCCUGCCUGAAGGCUGACAUUUCUAAACCCCCUCCUUACUGCCCAUUUUCCUGAUGUAACUGCCUCAAGAUUCUGUAAUCCUUGAAGAUGGUUUUUUUGAGACAUUAUUCUGCCAUCUUUCUGAUUAUGCCAGCUAAUUGAAUUAAAGCGUCAUUUCUUGGUCUCUAACGUGAUUCAUUGGCUCAGAUCUCAGUAAGCAGAGAAAUCCCAUUGCUCUGUAUCAGGUUUAGUCUUUACGUCACAUGUUAAUUAGGAUUUUUGCGGUUUGAAUAAAGCAUCACAUUUAGCUAAAAUUUAUUUCAACUCCUCUACAGCUGGAGAUCUUAUAAAACCUUAAACAUAUACUUCAAAUCUAUU
This 7792-nucleotide long non-coding RNA is filed under the name Equus asinus (donkey). RNAcentral describes it as "lncRNA (ENSEASG00005037503.1)". The record is from RNAcentral. Lineage: Eukaryota; Metazoa; Chordata; Mammalia; Perissodactyla; Equidae.